AGACCUCAAAUCAGUCAGGACUACCCGCUGAACUUAAGCAUAUCAAUAAGCGGAGGAAAAGAAACUAACAAGGAUUCCCCUAGUAACGGCGAGUGAAGUGGGAAAAGCUCAACUUUGAAAUCUGGUACUUUCAGUAUCCGAAUUGUAGUCUCAAGAAGUGUUUUCUGUGCCGGUCCAUGUAUGAGUCUGUUGGAACACAGCGUCAUAGAGGGUGACAACCCCGUUCAUGACAUGGAUCCCGGUGCUUUGUGAUACACUCUCGAAGAGUCGAGUUGUUUGGGAAUGCAGCUCAAAUUGGGUGGUAAAUUCCAUCUAAAGCUAAAUAUUGGCGAGAGACCGAUAGCAAACAAGUACCGUGAGGGAAAGAUGAAAAGCACUUUGGAAAGAGAGUUAACAGUACGUGAAAUUGUUGAAAGGGAAACGAUUGAAGUCAGACGUGCGUGAUGCGGUUCAGCUUUAGUUCGCUAGAGUGUACUCCGUAUCUUUGCAGGCCAGCAUCGGUUUUGUUAGUCGGAUAAAGGUUUGAGAAAUGUGGCAUCUUCGGAUGUGUUAUAGUCUCAGACUGAAUACGAUUGAUGGGACCGAGGAACGCAGCGCGCCGCAAGGCAAAGGUUCCGACCUUUCGCGC
Molecule: ribosomal RNA, 628 nt
Filed under: Cystobasidium ongulense
Lineage: Eukaryota; Fungi; Basidiomycota; Cystobasidiomycetes; Cystobasidiales; Cystobasidiaceae
Description: eukaryotic LSU rRNA
Rfam family: Eukaryotic large subunit ribosomal RNA
Source: RNAcentral